This 367-nucleotide ribosomal RNA is filed under the name uncultured bacterium. Its description in RNAcentral is "bacterial SSU rRNA". It matches the Rfam family "Bacterial small subunit ribosomal RNA", at positions 29 to 410 of the family's 1533-position model. The record is from RNAcentral.
AACGAACGCUGGCGGCAGGCCUAACACAUGCAAGUCGAACGCCGUAGCAAUACGGAGUGGCAGACGGGUGAGUAACGCGUGGGAACAUACCCCUCGGUUCGGAAUAACUUAGGGAAACUUGAGCUAAUACCGGAUACGUCCGAGGUUUUAACCGGCCUCGGAGAAAGAUUUAUCGCCGGAGGAUUGGCCCGCGUCUGAUUAGCUUGUUGGUGAGGUAAUGGCUCACCAAGGCGACGAUCAGAGCUGGUCUGAGAGGAUGAUCAGCCACAUUGGGACUGAGACACGGCCCAAACUCCUACGGGAGGCAGCAGUGGGGAAUAUUGGACAAUGGGCGAAAGCCUGAUCCAGCCAUGCCGCGUGAGUGAUG